RNAcentral lists this long non-coding RNA (253 nucleotides) under Salvia miltiorrhiza (redroot sage). RNAcentral's name for it is "long non-coding RNA (SMIL_LNC004090)". The record is from RNAcentral. Lineage: Eukaryota; Viridiplantae; Streptophyta; Magnoliopsida; Lamiales; Lamiaceae.
GCGGGACGGAUAUAUUAGAAUAAAAAACAUCAUAUCAAGAUCAGAAGCAUGAUGAAUCAUUACGAAGACAUGGCCUUAAUUUCAAAUUAUACAGUAUCACAGUAUACACUAUGCAUGCAUCAUUAACGAUCGAGUACAAUGUAAACAUAUACUCCAUAUAUGAUCAUCAUAUCUCUUCGUUGAGAAAAGGUACAGAAAAGUCCAAUUUUCUACUUAUUGUACGUACGCCAUAUAUAUAUAUACACAACAUCUU